Neodiprion fabricii is the source of this 1297-nucleotide long non-coding RNA. RefSeq lists it as uncharacterized. Lineage: Eukaryota; Metazoa; Arthropoda; Insecta; Hymenoptera; Diprionidae. The record is from RefSeq and is a predicted model, not a curated record. The transcript has 2 exons.
UAUUUCGUUCUUGUCUCCACUGCGCAGCAUUGACGUGCCUGGUGAACUUCUCGCCAGACAAUAUUAAUAACUCGAAUAUGUUAGUGUCUGCACGGGAAACGCAAUCGCGGUAGUGGCAGGUGUCUGGAGCAGAGAGUCGAGUCUACCGGCUGAAACGGUGGCCGUGGCAGAGUGCCGAACAGAAGUAGGACGUUCUUGAUGUAUCGACUGCUCUGAAUCCGUAUUCAACCAGUUGCCACAGAGCGAUGCUGAUUACGAGUGGAGACUAUCCCGAGAGAUCGAAGAACAGUGCGCGAUUUUCGCCAUGGUCUUGAAAAUUGUCCAUGGUUUGUAGAUAUUUAAGAGGAUUCAAUUCCUGUGCGGCUUACGUUUGUACAAGAUGCGUUCCUUCAACGACGUCAGAAAAUUCACAUCUCCAUUAUUCGACCAAGCCAAGUCUGAGAGACUAAAUUCUGUCGAAUAACCGUUGUAUGCCUCGAAUGUGGAGAGCUUGCUGCAUACCUAGGGUGCAAUUACGUUCUAUCGAUUAAGUCAGCAGGUUGGACGAUAGGAUAUGUGUGGGUAGUCUAAUUUCCAGUAAUAUCAACUGAAACAAACAAAGUUGAGCGUUAAAAUGCAAGUUGAAUAGAGAGGAGGGAGAAUAAAAGUAAUAUCAAAAUCGAGCAGAAAGUCGUUUGGCAAAGGAUCGAUGUACAUGCGCAGCGCAAUAAUUAAUUUGCUGAUAACGCUAGGCGUGAUUUUUCAGCCAAAUAAUGGCUCGUUCAAUUAGUAAAUUAGAAUUAACCUGCAUUCCUAAUCAUAAUAUCUUGACUGUUUAUCAAGCGCCAUUAACACAGGGGUUGGGUAAUUAAUUGAUUUACAGUUAUUACAGUUACGGCCGAUUAUAGAACAACAACACGAGCAUGAUUUACGGACACGUAUUUUUAGACACACUGCCCACCUCAGUUCAUCUUUGCUAAUCGCGAGGCUAGAUGUACUUUUUACGUGACACGAAAAUGUCUGUGUCAGAGUUACCUUAACGUGAAUUGUAAACUUUCGCCAAUGUUUUAAACAAUAAAUCACAACUGACAGUAAGAUAUGGUUUUACUUACCGCCACAAUACAACGUGAAGCCAAUUUACACGCAAAAAUGUCAUUUCACCAAAUGUCGCGAAAAAGUUUACGCAUAGUAAAUGGGUAAGAUAUUGUAAUACACACUUCAUUUUGAAUUAAGAAUAAAUACAUAAUCAUCCGUUUAGGAUAAACGAAAAUUUGUUGAAACCCAUUGAAAUUGAAUAUUGCAUUAAAUUGAACAACAA